This 6030-nucleotide long non-coding RNA is filed under the name Homo sapiens (human). RNAcentral's name for it is "long non-coding RNA NONHSAT171162.1". Lineage: Eukaryota; Metazoa; Chordata; Mammalia; Primates; Hominidae. The record is from RNAcentral.
GAGAAACACACACGGGCGGGCGGAGGGGACCCGGGGCGAGUCAUCAAGGGCGCGUGGUUCGGCGUGCCAGGCGCGCUGCUCUGCCUGCUCUCUUGGCUUCUGUCUCCCUUCGACCGAUCGCCCCCUAUCCUGAAGCUUUCCAAUGUCAUCUUGGAGCCCCAAAGUUUCCUGGGGCCUCCGCGUUGUGCGUCCCAGAACCCCUUGCCUGCCCCUGAGGGAAACGCGGAGCCAUAGGCAGCGGGACGUCGGGAGCCAGCCCAGGGGAGGCCAGAUUCAGCAUUUGGACAGCGGCUCUGGGGCGCAGUCGGCCCAGCGAGUUUGCCGGUGAACAGCCUCGGGCACAUGGCGGGUAGGAGGGCCGCAGGGCUGCUCUGGGUCUUGAAGAAGCAGGACCCAGCCUAGAGGGCAUCCCCAGCUCCGAAUGGGACACGUUUUCCCGAGAUAAAAGAUCCCUUCUGAGCUCACACGGGAGCCCCGGGACCAUCCAAUCCAGCGUGGAUAUCCCCAGCCUAACCAACACCUGUGCUGGGGGGAAAGAUAAGACGCCCCCUUUCAGCCAGGAGGUGGACGACCCUCAUGCCCUCAGCUCUCCAUUCUUCCCAAAGCAGCUCGGAUCCCUAAGUCUGGAGCUGCCAGCGAGGCUUCCAACCCGCUGCUUGCCAUCACCUCCCAGGUCGUUGGUGGCUCCGAGAUUCUCACAACUUCUGCGUGCGAGCGCCCGCCCCACCGACCGCCCCGGCCCGGCCCGCAAGAGCCAGAGGAGCCGAGAGGAGCCCAGCGCCGGCCCAGCGGACUCCAGCUCGACGGAGCGGCCGCGCCCCGACCAGGAGUGCUAGGGUCCCUCUCGAGUUUCUCAUCUGCCUUCAGGUCACUUUCCACCCUGAUGCCUUGGCUUGUCCUGAAGCUCAGGGCCCCUGUAGCUUGGGAAACCUCCCAAGCUCCCCAGCGAGUGGCUGUAGACCAAGGAAGGGACCCUGCCCGGCUUCAGGGAAGAAAGGAAGAAAGGUACUCCCCUGCUGGUGCCUCCCUCCUUGGCGCGCUUCCCACCUGCGAUCGGCGCCCUCUUCGCAGUCACGAACUCGCCAGCAGCUAGCAGCACUGACUAGUAGGAGGGCCCGCCGGAGGAGAGGCGCGCGGCCCACAGAAGCGGAACGCGCGUCGAGAGCGCCCUGUCCGCUCGCCCCAGACAGAUGCCCGGUUAUUCAUUACCGCGAGGCCUAGAGGAAAGAGUGGCUGCCGUCUUCCUGCCCACAGCCCGCCGGACCCUCCGUCGCGGCUGCCCGGUCCCCGGAGCCGCAGCCGCCGAGCCCGGCUGUGCGUGUCGUGGCUGCUGGGGAGAAAGAGGCUUCCGGGGCAGGGGCGGAAACGGCCUUCCCCGCGUGGGGAACAAUGGCGUUAUUUUGGAGUCUGCAACCGCGAGCGCUUCAAGCUCUUUGAUUAUUUUCGAGGAGUGUUAGGAUGCAGAGUGACCAAGAAACUUCAGUAAUACUAGUUUGUGUCUUUGGAGUCCCACUUUUUGCCAGGGCUAGUGCUAACAGCUUCAGGAGAAUUCAGCCUCACCUUGACAGGAGUGACUUUUCCCACAAGUUAAAAUCAGGACUCCAAGGAGAACCUGUCUCCCAAUUGCUAUAAAAGUGUUUUAUAUGCUGAGCUGUAGUUCCUUUCUCUGCAGAGAAAAUAUAAUCAGAGACCAUCUGGGUGGGAGAGAAAGAACGAAGAGAAAGAAAUGGAUCAGAGUGGAAUAAAGGAAGUGGGAAGGAAGCUGGGGGGCUUCGAGGAGCCUGACCUUGCUUAGCUUACAGGCCCUGAUAUAGUGUCUUUGUCAAUGCUGCCACUAUUGACGCGUUCCUCGGUAAUUAUGACUGUGUGUUGGCAUGGCGACUCGGAGUAAGAAGACUAGAAGCACUGGGUAAAUGCACGACUUGUUCUUGCCUUCUAAAGCAGAGAGGAGCUUUUGUGGGUAGUUCCUACAGGGAUACAUGGUAGAAAAUUCACCAAACCCAGUGCUGGAGUGUUUCUCUUCCUCAGAAGAAAUCAGAUGCUGUUCAGAGCACGAAGGCUAGAAUUUUACCCUGGUUCUCAUGCUACCUUGCACCCAGGUUGGAUCCUGAGUACAGUUUUUGGCAGGAAGCCCCAGAGAGAUUGGUGAGGGUGAUUUCCCAGGAAGACGCAGUGUGCUCUGACUUCUGUGACAGUGAGCAACGGGACCAGUGGAUGUCCAGAUGCUGGCAAUGAGACAUGCUCUGGAGUCAGAAGACAGCGAAAAGAGAAGCAGAAGCCCCGGUGGCAAGAGUCUGAAGGGAGAAAAUAACCCAGUUUGGGAAGGACAUUUAAAAGGGGAAAAUAUUAGGAGGAAGGAUGACUGUAGCCUGUGGAUUGUACUGCAGUAGGAAACUGUCCUAGCAAGGCUCCACUUUGCCCCAGCUUCAAGGUGGAAAGGAGGAGAACAUGAAACAUUGCUUGAAGACAAUGGCCGAGACAGCAGGUCCCACCCUGCACAGCCACCAGCAUCUCUCCCCUCAGCCCUGUCUCCUCUUCUGCAGUUGGGAUCUGCACAUUUAAGCCUGAAGUUGUCCUGUGAAGUGAAGUAUGAUCGGACAGCCUCUUUUCAGCUUUUAUGACAAUGGAGACAGAGGAAUUGUGGCUCUUGCCAAGGUCACAGGAUUGGAAUACAGAGCCAAGCCACCCCAGGACAUGCAAGAGCCUCAGAAGGGAAAAAAGCCCAGCAGGAAGGGAGAACAAGUAGCCUCUGUCCUGAAGUUGUAACAGCCAGGGGCCAGGAUGGAGGAGGAGGACCCCAUAAUCUGCCCAUCUGGGACUUGGCAGGGGACCUGGGAAAAUGUACCCCAACCCAUCCCUUAAGGGCCUUUGUCUUUGGCCCAUUGGCCUAGCAUCUACUUCUUCACCGUGUCUGUUCUUGUCACACCUAGUCAGGUCUGUUUGGGUCUGAGGUGCAUGGAACAUUCUGGGUAGGCCUCCAGCAAACGGAAGCUCUUCACCGUGUUUCCAGCCUGGGACCAAGGGCAGCAUACUGGCAAAGUUGCCAAAGCAAGGGACUCCAGCCUCUUAGGAGUUAAUGACUCCCUCUCCCCAGCUGUCCUCCCCUUGGUGCUCCUCUUCCUCCCUCCUCCUGCUCACAGCAGGCAGGGCCUAGACCCGGGAGCCAUGCUGCUGUGCUGUUGCCAGGGGAGCACGGAGGCAGAUCUGAGCUAUGCAGGGAAAAGGCCCAGCCUGUCAAAGUGUCUGAGAUGAACCGCCGCCGUCCCUGUGCAGCUGGGCUCAGACGUGUCUCAGCUCUUGUUCUGUGCCUGAGAAUGGCGAAACCCAGUGAGGUUCAAGGGCAAACUCGCUAUUCAUUAGUCAGGGGUUCUUGACGUCCCGUCUCUCCCAGGGAUGAGUUCCCCCCUCCUCUUUCUCCCCCUCCUAUGACACAUUCCUGGGUGCCUUUGGUGAGGACUGCACACCCUCCUCCUGCCUAGCCCCCUCUCCAAAGGCCCCUGAAUAAACUCCCCCCAAGGAGACCAGGCAGGGCAGAGACAAUGGCUGCAGGAAAUCAUUCAGGCGGGACAUGCUGGCCUGCCCUCCACCCAGUCCCCCUGUGGGCCCCACUCCCUUCUGAUUCAGGGCACCCUUGGGCCCCCAGCCUAUACAGGCCUGGACAGGAAGAAACCACUGGGAACCACCCUAAGGACAACAUGCUAGUCCAGUGCCAUUCUUCGCUGGCUCUGUGGGUGCCUUUGUGGCCUGUACCGACUGGCUGGCUAAUUUUGUGGUUUCUGUACCAUCACAUGCCUAUUUUAAGACACUCUCCAGCACUGUCGGUUAGGGAGUGUAAAUUUUGCAAUAUUUUCUGAAAUGUGGCAAUAUCAAAAUGUAAAAGGCACACAUACUUGGUCACAAACAAAUGGCACUAUUUACUCUGUGGGCAUAUUUGUAAAAGUUGCCAAAGAAUUAUAUACAAGGAUGUUCAUCAGAGCAUUUCUUUUGAAGAGUAAAGAAAUGGACAUGAACCUGUGGUCCGUUCAUACGGUGGAAUACCUAUGCAGCUGUAAAAAUCAGUGUGGUAGAUCUCCGUAUAUGAGUUGAUGUGGAAGGUUGGCCAGUUCACAUGAUAAGGUGAAUAGAAUAAGUUACAGAACAGGCUGUAGAGUAUGAUCUUAUUUGUAGAUGUUUAAAACUGAGUCAUAAGUAUGCUUAUAUACAGAUCGUUUCUGGAAGUAUGUACUGGAAGUCUACCUCUGGGGAGUGGGGAUGGGGGAGUGCACUCUUCUAUACUGUUAUAUUUUCUUUUCAUGCUCCUAAGGUACUUUUAUUGGAAGAUGUAAAGCGGUUCAAUGUAAUAGGCUUAACUUCUGUCAACUAAGUUGGCGUGGGUGCUUUAAGAGGGUGGUAGUGAUGUUGCUGGAGAAAGUAUCCCACAGUCACUGGUGGCUUCAGCCACGGGCCAUUUUGGGGCCUAAUAAUCACAUAUCAUCAUGGUUGCUAGUGUUAAUCGAAAACCUACUAAGUGCCAGGCUUACUGUCUCUGGGUCUUGCUUACGUGGAUGUCAUUUUUCCAGUUGCACCAAAUCGAAAGAGGUUAAUUGGUUUGUUGGAGUUCCUUUGUAGGUGAAGGGCAGAGCCAGGAGCUUGGCUAGGGACAGGGGAGGUGAGUGGGGGAUGGUGGAUAGGUCUUGGCUCCCAGUUUCCUUCUGGGCAGACAUUGCCCCUCUGCCCUGAGGACCUGCUUGUUUGGGGGAAGAGGCCUUUAGAGGCACCAGGGUCAUGCCAGGUGUUGGACAUGGUGAACUGGGAAGUGCUCCCAUCUGGCCACAGCGCAGAAGUAUCACCGUGCUGGGGGAUGGGGAACAGGGCUGUGAAUGGGCCUAUUUGCAUAAGCAGCAUGUGUCUGGAGAGAAAGACAUCACAGAGCAGAAGAGUGCGGGUGCCCAGGAGUGCACUUGCCACCCCUACUUCAUCCCUGAAAGAGUAAAUGGCCUGGAAGGUGUCUCUGAGAGGUAAUGCCGCACACCACCCUCCCUGGGGGCAGGGUCAGGCUACACCUGCCUUAGGUCGGGGGCUGCAGCAGCCUGAGAGCUCUCAGUAGGGCCUCAGUAGCCUGGGAGGGAGCAGGGGCAGGGGGCAGGGAAAGAGGCGUAAUGGGGCUGUCCAGAGGGGCCUGGGAAACCUGGUCCCUGAGGCCUGGGCACAGCUACAAUCACUUCAAAUUGGCUGUGGGGCCAGUGGACUGGGAAGGAAAAAAGCAAUAAGAGUGACCAAGUGCAGAAGGCUGUCAGGUCCCAGGUCACAUGCCUUAGUGCAGUGACUCCUCAUCAUUUUAUGGGGUGUGGGUGUCGUUGGUACACCCAUUUUACAGAUGAGGACACCGAGGCCCAGAAAAGUUAAGUUACAUGUCCUAAGUCACACAGCUUGUAAGUGCCAGAACUGAGAUCAAAACCAAGUCUCUUUGACUUUAAAGUCUGUACUCUGACCCCAAAGAGAUCCUGUUUGGCCACUUAUAGGAGGUCCCUAAAGCUGCAGACUCCCCUUGCCGGCACCCACAUAUAGAGACAUUAACCCUUCCCCUGCAGGGUCACCUCAAAUAGUCUUUUAGCUGGGCUUCUCCUGCAAUUCCACCUAAUGCCAUCCCCUGGGUUUUGCCCAAACCUGAACUGGGCAGUGGGGUGAGAGGAGGGGUUUACAGGGUUACAGAGCCUCAUACAGAUAGGAGCCCAUGGCUGCUGGUCAUCUGCAUUCCUGCAGGAUUGGCUGUUCCUUGGGGUCCUUGGCAGGAAAAUGAGGAUUGCUCCGAGGCCUGCUCCAGUACUUCCCAGAGGCUGGCCUGGUGUGGGGCUCUGGGAAGGCUGAGGCUGGAGAAGCGUAAGUAGGAGGGCAGAGAUGGCACUCAGGUAGCUUGAAUCACCAGGACCCUUCCAAGCCCCACAGGUUCUGAGGGAGUACUAGGGCCAGCUCUGGGAGAGGUCUCUUCCUAUGCUGUGAACCCCCUGCCUUUCUUGCAGCCUACAACGAAUAAAUUUUCUUUGCAAAGGC